UCCCUGGUGGUCUAGUAGCUAAGACACUGUGCUCCCAAUUCAGGGGGGCCCAGGUUCAAUCCCUGGUUAGGGAG
This 74-nucleotide transfer RNA is filed under the name Ovis aries (sheep). It matches the Rfam family "tRNA". Rfam says of the family: Transfer RNA (tRNA) molecules are approximately 80 nucleotides in length. Their secondary structure includes four short double-helical elements and three loops (D, anti-codon, and T loops). Further hydrogen bonds mediate the characteristic L-shaped molecular structure. tRNAs have two regions of fundamental functional importance: the anti-codon, which is responsible for specific mRNA codon recognition, and the 3' end, to which the tRNAs corresponding amino acid is attached (by aminoacyl-tRNA synthetases). tRNAs cope with the degeneracy of the genetic code in two manners: having more than one tRNA (with a specific anti-codon) for a particular amino acid; and 'wobble' base-pairing, i.e. permitting non-standard base-pairing at the 3rd anti-codon position. Lineage: Eukaryota; Metazoa; Chordata; Mammalia; Artiodactyla; Bovidae. The record is from Rfam by way of RNAcentral.